CGAACGCUGGCGUCGUGCUUAACACAUGCAAGUCGAGCGGUAAGGCCCCUUCGGGGGUACACGAGCGGCGAACGGGUGAGUAACACGUGAGCAAUCUGCCCAUCACAUCGGGAUAACUCCGGGAAACCGAAGCUAAUACCGAAUACGACCACCUCCGGCAUCGGAUGGUGGUGGAAAGUUCCGGCGGUGAUGGAUGAGCUCGCGGCCUAUCAGCUUGUUGGUGGGGUAACGGCCCACCAAGGCUUCGACGGGUAGCCGGCCUGAGAGGGUGACCGGCCACACUGGGACUGAGACACGGCCCAGACUCCUACGGGAGGCAGCAGUGGGGAAUAUUGGACAAUGGGCGAAAGCCUGAUCCAGCAACGCCGCGUGAGGGAUGACGGCCUUCGGGUUGUAAACCUCUUUCAGCAGGGACGAAGCGCAAGUGACGGUACCUGCAGAAGAAGCACCGGCCAACUACGUG
This 463-nucleotide ribosomal RNA is filed under the name uncultured bacterium. Its description in RNAcentral is "partial 16S ribosomal RNA". It matches the Rfam family "Bacterial small subunit ribosomal RNA", at positions 30 to 507 of the family's 1533-position model. The record is from RNAcentral.